Molecule: long non-coding RNA, 954 nt
Filed under: Carica papaya (papaya)
Lineage: Eukaryota; Viridiplantae; Streptophyta; Magnoliopsida; Brassicales; Caricaceae
Description: long non-coding RNA (CPAP_LNC003366)
Source: RNAcentral
UGUUAUAAACCAGGCCUGGAUUAAGUGCUUUCAAUGGAUUUAUGUGGCCGGAUCCGUAAGAAAAUUCAGCAUCUGGGUUUUCUUUAGCGCUCAUGGGAGUUGCUGAAAAAAGAUCAAAAAGUUACUAGAGAGACUGACUGGCAAGCUAGCACAUGCUCUAAUACCAUUUAUAACAUCUUAAGCUCAAAUUUCCUCCCUACAAUAAUAACAUGUUGACCCGAAGAAUUGUUUCCUCUAAACUCAAAUUACUGGUCAUAAGCAACUUGAGUCCUUUUUGGAACCCAAAGAAUUAAUUCAUUUGACAUGUAUAAUCCAUCCACAGGUAAAGUCUAAUUUGAUCAAACCUGCAGUGAUCCUUCUUAAGUUUUAGAAGAACAUGUGUGAAUUACCUGUUGUCAUUAAAGCAGAUUUAAUGACAGAAGGAGACCAUGAAGGGUGAAAUGUUUUAACAUAAAGAGCAGCUCCUGUUGCAUGAGGGCAUGCCAUGGAAGUUCCUGAGAUGAUUUUGAAUGGUGCAUGGCGUUUUUCAUCUGGGAAAUCUGUUGAAGGUGCUUUCAGAGAAUAUGCAGCCAAGAUAUCAACCCCUGGAGCAGUAAUGUCUGGCUGCAAAAAGCAAAUGUUAAUGUAUUAGGAUUCAUUAAUUAUGUGUAGAUUAAACCAAAUAUACUCUUGAUGCAGAUGAAAUCUGUCCUUGGUAGAUAUUCUGUUCUAAUUUUAAGCAUAUAUGAACUGUAUAUUACCUUAAGAAUGUUUGGAGUAACUUUAACUGGUCCUCUGCCAGAGAAGGAGGCUACUAAGGGAGCUGUUGGAUCAUGAACGCUUAUGCUUUUAUAUAUUUUCCCCACUGGAUUUCUGUUCAAAUCAAACAUAUACCAAGAGCUCUCUUUUAUUUGUUUGUGGGGGAAAAUUACAUAAUAUAUGAUUCAAGACAUGCUAUAUUUACAUAUAUUAGGG